GGCGCGGUGAUGGAAUUGGUAUACAUGCUGGUUUCAAAAGCCAGAUUCUGAGAGUUCGAAUCUCUCCUGCGCCA
This 74-nucleotide transfer RNA is filed under the name marine sediment metagenome. RNAcentral's name for it is "tRNA-Leu". It matches the Rfam family "tRNA". From Rfam's summary of the family: Transfer RNA (tRNA) molecules are approximately 80 nucleotides in length. Their secondary structure includes four short double-helical elements and three loops (D, anti-codon, and T loops). Further hydrogen bonds mediate the characteristic L-shaped molecular structure. tRNAs have two regions of fundamental functional importance: the anti-codon, which is responsible for specific mRNA codon recognition, and the 3' end, to which the tRNAs corresponding amino acid is attached (by aminoacyl-tRNA synthetases). tRNAs cope with the degeneracy of the genetic code in two manners: having more than one tRNA (with a specific anti-codon) for a particular amino acid; and 'wobble' base-pairing, i.e. permitting non-standard base-pairing at the 3rd anti-codon position. The record is from RNAcentral.